GGACUACUGGGGUUUCUAAUCCUGUUUGCUCCCCACGCUUUCGUGCAUGAGCGUCAGUAUUGGCCCAGGAGGCUGCCUUCGCCAUCGGUGUUCCUCCACAUCUCUACGCAUUUCACCGCUACACGUGGAAUUCCACCUCCCUCUGCCAUACUCCAGUCCCGUAGUUUCAAGCGCAAUUCCCAGGUUAAGCCCGGGGAUUUCACGCCUGACUUGCAGGACCGCCUGCGCACCCUUUACGCCCAGUAAUUCCGAUUAACGCUCGCACCCUACGUAUUACCGCGGCUGCUGGCAC
This 292-nucleotide ribosomal RNA is filed under the name uncultured bacterium. Its description in RNAcentral is "partial 16S ribosomal RNA". The record is from RNAcentral. RNAcentral also lists the same sequence under 1 other name.